This 535-nucleotide ribosomal RNA is filed under the name Slooffia micra. Its description in RNAcentral is "partial large subunit ribosomal RNA". It matches the Rfam family "Eukaryotic large subunit ribosomal RNA", at positions 123 to 653 of the family's 3401-position model. The record is from RNAcentral. Lineage: Eukaryota; Fungi; Basidiomycota; Microbotryomycetes; Chrysozymaceae.
UGGCACUUUCAGUGUCCGAGUUGUAAUCUCGAGAAGUGUUUUCCGCGCUGGACCGCAUAUAAGUCUGUUGGAAUACAGCGUCAUAGUGGUGAGAACCCCGUAAUUGAUGCGGACGCCCAGUGCUUUGUGAUACACUUUCGAAGAGUCGAGUUGUUUGGGAAUGCAGCUCAAAUUGGGUGGUAAAUUCCAUCUAAAGCUAAAUAUUGGCGAGAGACCGAUAGCGAACAAGUACCGUGAGGGAAAGAUGAAAAGCACUUUGGAAAGAGAGUUAACAGUACGUGAAAUUGUUGGAAGGGAAACGCUUGAAGUCAGACUUGCUGUUUGGAAUUCAGCCGCAAGGUGUACUUUUCAGAUAUGCAGGCCAGCAUCAGUUUUUGGGGGUGAAAAAGGGUAUGGAGAAGGUAGCAGUUUCGGCUGUGUUAUAGCUCUUUGCUGGAUUCAUCCUUGGGGACUGAGGAACGCAGCUCACUUUUUGCACGAUCUUCGGAUUGUUCUGAGCUUAGGAUGCUGGUGGAAUGGCUUUAAACGACCCGUC